UCCGGUGGUUCUGAAUGGAAGGGCCAUCGCUCAACGGAUAAAAGGUACUCCGGGGAUAACAGGCUGAUACCGCCCAAGAGUUCAUAUCGACGGCGGUGUUUGGCACCUCGAUGUCGGCUCAUCACAUCCUGGGGCUGAAGUAGGUCCCAAGGGUAUGGCUGUUCGCCAUUUAAAGUGGUACGCGAGCUGGGUUUAGAACGUCGUGAGACAGUUCGGUCCCUAUCUGCCGUGGGCGCUGGAGAACUGAGGGGGGCUGCUCCUAGUACGAGAGGACCGGAGUGGACGCAUCACUGGUGUUCGGGUUGUCAUGCCAAUGGCACUGCCCGGUAGCUAAAUGCGGAAGAGAUAAGUGCUGAAAGCAUCUAAGCACGAAACUUGCCCCGAGAUGAGUUCUCCCUGACCCUUUAAGGGUCCUGAAGGAACGUUGAAGACGACGACGUUGAU
This 444-nucleotide ribosomal RNA is filed under the name Shigella flexneri. RNAcentral's name for it is "partial 23S ribosomal RNA". It matches the Rfam family "Bacterial large subunit ribosomal RNA", at positions 2419 to 2857 of the family's 2925-position model. Lineage: Bacteria; Pseudomonadati; Pseudomonadota; Gammaproteobacteria; Enterobacterales; Enterobacteriaceae. The record is from RNAcentral.